This 492-nucleotide ribosomal RNA is filed under the name uncultured bacterium. Its description in RNAcentral is "partial 16S ribosomal RNA". It matches the Rfam family "Bacterial small subunit ribosomal RNA", at positions 29 to 507 of the family's 1533-position model. The record is from RNAcentral.
AGUGAACGCUGGCGGUAGGCCUAACACAUGCAAGUCGAACGGCAGCACAGUAAGAGCCUGCUCUUACGGGUGGCGAGUGGCGGACGGGUGAGGAAUACAUCGGAAUCUACUUUUUCGUGGGGGAUAACGUAGGGAAACUUACGCUAAUACCGCAUACGACCUACGGGUGAAAGCAGGGGAUCUUCGGACCUUGCGCGAUUGAAUGAGCCGAUGUCGGAUUAGCUAGUUGGCGGGGUAAAGGCCCACCAAGGCGACGAUCCGUAGCUGGUCUGAGAGGAUGAUCUGCCACACUGGAACUGAGACACGGUCCAGACUCCUACGGGAGGCAGCAGUGGGGAAUAUUGGACAAUGGGCGCAAGCCUGAUCCAGCCAUACCGCGUGGGUGAAGAAGGCCUUCGGGUUGUAAAGCCCUUUUGUUGGGAAAGAAAAGCAGCAGGUUAAUACCCCGCUGUUCUGACGGUACCCAAAGAAUAAGCACCGGCUAACUUCGUG